UACGAAGGGGGCUAGCGUUGUUCGGAAUUACUGGGCGUAGAGCGCGUGUAGGCUGGCCGUUAAGUCGGGGGUGAAAGCCCAGAGCUCAACUCUGGAAUUGCCUUCGAUACUGGCGGCCUGGAGCAUGAUAGAGGCGAGUGGAAUUGCGAGUGUAGAGGUGAAAUUUGUAGAUAUUCGCAGGAACACCAGUGGCUAAGGCGACUCGCUGGAUCAUUGCUGACGCUGCGACGCCAAAGCGUGGGGAGCAAACAGG
RNAcentral lists this ribosomal RNA (253 nucleotides) under uncultured bacterium. RNAcentral's name for it is "partial 16S ribosomal RNA". It matches the Rfam family "Bacterial small subunit ribosomal RNA", at positions 524 to 776 of the family's 1533-position model. The record is from RNAcentral.